Molecule: ribosomal RNA, 269 nt
Filed under: uncultured bacterium
Lineage: Bacteria
Description: partial 16S ribosomal RNA
Rfam family: Bacterial small subunit ribosomal RNA
Source: RNAcentral
GUCCUGGCAGUAAACGGUGCGCGUUUGGUGUGGGGAGGAUUCGACCCCUUCUGUGCCGGAGCUAACGCGUUAAACGCGCCGCCUGGGGAGUACGGUCGCAAGAUUAAAACUCAAAGAAAUUGACGGGGGCCCGCACAAGCGGUGGGAGUAUGUGGCUUAAUUCGAUGCAACGCGAAGAACUUUACCUAGCCUUGACAUGCAUCUCUAAGUCGGUGAAAGCCGGCGACUGUAGCAAUACAGAAUUUGCACAGGUGCUGCAUGGCUGUCGU